AACGAACGCUGGCGGCAUGCCUAACACAUGCAAGUCGAACGAGACCGUCGGGUCUAGUGGCGCACGGGUGCGUAACGCGUGGGAACCUGCCCUUAGGUUCGGAAUAACUCCCCGAAAGGGGUGCUAAUACCGGAUAAUGUCUUCGGACCAAAGAUUUAUCGCCUUUGGAUGGGCCCGCGUUGGAUUAGCUAGUUGGUAGGGUAAAAGCCUACCAAGGCGACGAUCCAUAGCUGGUCUGAGAGGAUGAUCAGCCACACUGGGACUGAGACACGGCCCAGACUCCUACGGGAAGCAGCAGUGGGGAAUAUUGGACAAUGGGCGAAAGCCUGAUCCAGCAAUGCCGCGUGAGUGAUGAAGGCCUUAGGGUUGUAAAGCUCUUUUACCCGGGAUGAUAAUGACAGUACCGGGAGAAUAAGCUCCGGCUAACUCCGUG
This 433-nucleotide ribosomal RNA is filed under the name uncultured bacterium. Its description in RNAcentral is "partial 16S ribosomal RNA". It matches the Rfam family "Bacterial small subunit ribosomal RNA", at positions 29 to 507 of the family's 1533-position model. The record is from RNAcentral.